GUGCCAGCAGCCGCGGUAAGACGAACCGUGCAAACGUUAUUCGGAAUCACUGGGCUUAAAGGGCGCGUAGGCGGGUAACCAAGUCCGGGGUGAAAUCCUCCAGCUUAACUGGAGAAGUGCCUCGGAUACUGGUCGUCUCGAGGAGGGUAGGGGCAUCUGGAACUAGCGGUGGAGCGGUGAAAUGCGUUGAUAUCGCUAGGAACUCCGAUGGCGAAGGCAAGGUGCUGGACCCUUUCUGACGCUGAGGCGCGAAAGCCAGGGGAGCGAACGGGAUUAGAUACCCGUGUAGUCC
This 292-nucleotide ribosomal RNA is filed under the name uncultured bacterium. RNAcentral describes it as "partial 16S ribosomal RNA". It matches the Rfam family "Bacterial small subunit ribosomal RNA", at positions 505 to 796 of the family's 1533-position model. The record is from RNAcentral.